ACGUUGGAUACUGGAGCGGGGAAGGAUUUCGUGCCAACGGCACUCGUACACGAGUUGUUCGGAUACUGAGCACAACGUUACACCGUUUUGUUAGGAAAGUGAAGGUGCGUCGGCGGCGUGCGUUUUUUUUUUGCUUUGUUUUUUUUUUUUAAAAAAAAAAAAAAAAAAGGCGCCCCCCCCUGGGCCUUUUUGAAAAGGGGGAAAAA
This 206-nucleotide ribosomal RNA is filed under the name Trypanosoma caninum. RNAcentral's name for it is "partial large subunit ribosomal RNA". The record is from RNAcentral. Lineage: Eukaryota; Euglenozoa; Kinetoplastea; Trypanosomatida; Trypanosomatidae.